Long non-coding RNA from Pongo pygmaeus (Bornean orangutan), 462 nucleotides. RefSeq lists it as uncharacterized. The transcript has 2 exons. The record is from RefSeq and is a predicted model, not a curated record. Lineage: Eukaryota; Metazoa; Chordata; Mammalia; Primates; Hominidae.
CACACAUCACAACCACCUCCAUUUCCUCAUGCCUUCUCUUCCACCUUCUACCCUGAGGAAUCAGCCAGCCUGAAGGAGUGGGGCAGAGAGCAGAAGCCUGCCCUUCCAUAACAGAUCUGCGGCUGGGAGGGAGAGGAGAAGGGACUUCUCCUAGAAUGGAAAUGGAGUGCUGGUUCAUACCUUGGACUAGACAUUUAGAAAUUUGAGACUUCUUGUGACUUAAACUGCCUAUUCUACCAGAAGGUCCAUGUUAGCCUUCUGGAGAAUGAGAGAACUUCUGAAGGAGAACCAACUACCCCAGCUGACAGCCAGCCUACCCACAAAAGCAGAGCCACUAGUGAACCCGCAGCUGACUUCAGUCAUACGUGAAAGACCAUACAAAUUCAAAGAACCAUCCAGAUGAGCCCAGCCUAAAUUGCUGACCCCAGAAAAAAUGAACUAAAUAAAUGGUAGUUAUUUUAA